This is a long non-coding RNA of Oncorhynchus keta (chum salmon), 980 nucleotides long. RefSeq lists it as uncharacterized. The transcript has 5 exons. Lineage: Eukaryota; Metazoa; Chordata; Actinopteri; Salmoniformes; Salmonidae. The record is from RefSeq and is a predicted model, not a curated record.
AUCUUGUAUGAAGAACAUGUAGUGAACUAUUUCUUGGUAAGAUUGACAUUGCGAUUGUACUGUAAAGUGCUGCACUUUGUGACAACUGUUGUUGUCAAUACGGGAUAGACAACUGAUUCUGAUUCAAAUCCUGUUGUAUUUUUUCAUGCUUCGUAACCAACAGGUGUGGACUAACAGUGAAAUGCUUUCUGAUGGAAAAGAAAAUUGAGAAAUAAUAGAAAAGUAAAACACGUAAUAAUAAAAGUAAUAAUAUAUACAUAAUGAGUAACUAUAACUUGUAACUUAUAUACAAAAGCUACCAGUACUGAGUUGAUGUGCAGGGGUAUGAGGUAAUAACUCGGCUAUAUACAAGAGUUACCAGUACUGAGUUGAUGUGCAGGGGUAUGAGGUAAUAACUUGGCUAUAUACAAGAGGUACCAGUACUGAGUUGAUGUGCAGGGGUAUGAGGUAAUAACUUGGCUAUAUACAAGAGGUACCAGUACUGAGUUGAUGUGCAGGGGUAUGAGGUAAUAACUUGGCUAUAUACAAGAGGUACCAGUACUGAGUUGAUGUGCAGGGGUAUGAGGUAAUAACUUGGCUAUAUACAAGAGGUACCAGUACUGAGUUGAUGUGCAGGGGUAUGAGGUAAUAACUUGGCUAUAUACAAGAGGUACCAGUACUGAGUUGAUGUGCAGGGGUAUGAGGUAAUAACUUGGCUAUAUACAAGAGGUACCAGUACUGAGUUGAUGUGCAGGGGUAUGAGGUAAUAACUUGGCUAUAUACAAGAGGUACCAGUACUGAGUUGAUGUGCAGGGGUAUGAGGUAAUAACUUGGCUAUAUACAAGAGGUACCAGUACUGAGUUGAUGUGCAGGGGUAUGAGGUAAUAACUUGGCUAUAUACAAGAGGUACCAGUACUGAGUUGAUGUGCAGGGGUAUGAGGUAAUAACUUGGCUAUAUACAAGAGGUACCAGUACUGAGUUGAUGUGCAGGGGUAUGAGGU